GGGCCCGCACAAGCGGUGGAGCAUGUGGUUUAAUUCGAUGAUACGCGAGGAACCUUACCAGGGCUUAAAUGCAGAGCGACAGAGGUGGAAACACCUCCUUCUUCGGACGGUCUGCAAGGUGCUGCAUGGUUGUCGUCAGCUCGUGCUGUGAAGUGUCGGGUUAAGUCCCAUAACGAGCGCAACCCCUAUUUCUAGUUGCCAGCGGUUCGGCCGGGGACUCUAGAGAAACUGCCAGCGUAAGCUGUGAGGAAGGUGGGGAUGACGUCAAAUCAUCACGGCCCUUACGUCCUGGGCCACACACGUGCUACAAUGGUAAGGACAGAGAGUUGCCAACCCGCGAGGGUGAGCUAAUCUUCAAAGCCGAUCACAGUUCGGAUCGGAGUCUGCAACUCGACUCCGUG
RNAcentral lists this ribosomal RNA (401 nucleotides) under uncultured bacterium. RNAcentral's name for it is "bacterial SSU rRNA". It matches the Rfam family "Bacterial small subunit ribosomal RNA", at positions 917 to 1322 of the family's 1533-position model. The record is from RNAcentral.